Molecule: ribosomal RNA, 497 nt
Filed under: uncultured bacterium
Lineage: Bacteria
Description: partial 16S ribosomal RNA
Rfam family: Bacterial small subunit ribosomal RNA
Source: RNAcentral
GAUGAACGCUGGCGGCGUGCCUAAUACAUGCAAGUCGAGCGAACGGACGAGAAGCUUGCUUCUCUGAUGUUAGCGGCGGACGGGUGAGUAACACGUGGAUAACCUACCUAUAAGACUGGGAUAACUUCGGGAAACCGGAGCUAAUACCGGAUAAUAUUUUGAACCGCAUUGUUCAAAAGUGAAAGACGGUCUUGCUGUCACUUAUAGAUGGAUCCGCGCUGCAUUAGCUAGUUGGUAAGGUAACGGCUUACCAAGGCAACGAUGCAUAGCCGACCUGAGAGGGUGAUCGGCCACACUGGAACUGAGACACGGUCCAGACUCCUACGGGAGGCAGCAGUAGGGAAUCUGCCGCAAUGGGCGAAAGCCUGACGGAGCAACGCCGCGUGAGUGAUGAAGGUCUUCGGAUCGUAAAACUCUGUUAUGAGGGAAGAACAUAUGUGUAAGUAACUGUGCACAUCGUGACGGUACCUAAUCAGAAAGCCACGGCUAACUACGUG